UACGGAGGGUGCAAGCGUUUAUCCGGAUUCACUGGGUUUAAAGGGUGCGUAGGAGGGCAGGGAAGUCCGUGGUGAAAUCCUAGAGCUUAACUCUAGAACUGCCGUGGAUACUCUCUGUCUUGAAUCCCGUGGAGAUGAGCGGAAUAUGUCAUGUAGCGGUGAAAUGCUUAGAUAUGACAUAGAACACCAAUUGCGAAGGCAGCUCGUUACACGAAGAUUGACUCUGAGGCACGAAAGCGUGGGGAUCAAAAAGGG
RNAcentral lists this ribosomal RNA (255 nucleotides) under uncultured bacterium. RNAcentral describes it as "partial 16S ribosomal RNA". It matches the Rfam family "Bacterial small subunit ribosomal RNA", at positions 524 to 777 of the family's 1533-position model. The record is from RNAcentral.